This 450-nucleotide ribosomal RNA is filed under the name uncultured Glomeromycotina. RNAcentral's name for it is "SSU rRNA". It matches the Rfam family "Eukaryotic small subunit ribosomal RNA", at positions 569 to 1024 of the family's 1831-position model. Lineage: Eukaryota; Fungi; Glomeromycota. The record is from RNAcentral.
AGCAGCCGCGGUAAUUCCAGCUCCAAUAGCGUAUAUUAAAGUUGCUGCAGUUAAAAAGCUCGUAGUUGAAUUUCGGGACCAUCAUGUCGGUCGUGCCUCGGUACGUACUGGUAUUGUUGGUUUCUCCCUUCUGACGAACCAUGAUGUCAUUUAUUUGGUGUUGUGGGGAUUCAGGACUGUUACUUUGAAAAAAUUAGAGUGUUUAAAGCAGGCUCACGCUUGAAUACAUUAGCAUGGAAUAAUGAAAUAGGACGUUUGAUUCUAUUUUGUUGGUUUCUAGGAUCGACGUAAUGAUUAAUAGGGAUAGUUGGGGGCAUUAGUAUUCAAUUGUCAGAGGUGAAAUUCUUGGAUUUAUUGAAGACUAACUACUGCGAAAGCAUUUGCCAAGGAUGUUUUCAUUAAUCAAGAACGAAAGUUAGGGGAUCGAAGACGAUCAGAUACCGUCGUAGU